Numida meleagris (helmeted guineafowl) is the source of this 2076-nucleotide long non-coding RNA. RefSeq lists it as uncharacterized. The record is from RefSeq and is a predicted model, not a curated record. The transcript is spliced from 2 exons. NCBI's taxonomy places the organism in Eukaryota, Metazoa, Chordata, Aves, Galliformes, Numididae.
GACUGAUGGCUGGUCUGUUAGCCUUUCCUCAGGGAUAGUGUGUUAUGAGUAUGGUAACAGUAAGGAAGUCAAAUGCUUGAAUUGCUUGGAAUUGGAGAAACAAGGGAUAUGUCUUGCUUUUAAUAAUUUUGAAGAAGAAAAGACCUUGAGAGGUUAUCUAUUCCACCCCUUUUGCUGAAGAUGUGAUAAACCAUACAAAUUACUUAUACUGAAUGCCUGUCUAAUUUGCCAGUGAAUAUCUACACAGUUUCCCAAAGUGAUCUCAUCUAUACUCAGCAGUUCCUGUCAUUAACGUUUUUUCCCCAAGUGUCUGAAAAGUCUUACAGUAAAUGUAUGUGAAAUAUUUCUUUAAUCCUUUGCCAAGAACUUAUGGAAAAUGACAUUCUCAUACUAUCUGCAACUAUUUCUCAUGUAACUGAGCAUUAUCGUGCUAUCUCUCUCCUUUUCUUUUGCAGAUGAAAUAAUUACAGUUUCUUUAAUCUUGCCUUGUAAUGUUUUUCAGACCAUUUAUCAUUCUUAUUUCUCUUACCUGCUGCUUCUUCUGGAGUAUUUCUCCCAUUUGUUGUGGCCUUUUUGAAUUGGUUACCUGAGGAACAGGAAAUUAAAAAAAAAAGUGGUUAUUUUUCAUAUUUCAGAGAAUAUACUAAUGAAGACCUGUAGAGACCUAUGCUCUGUGCUUUCUGUAUCAAUAAAAACUGACUUUGAAAGAGCUGGGGGGAAAAAAAAGGCAAAACAAAACAAAAAAGCUUAUUUCCAACAUCUAUUAAAUGCAAAGUAAUGCACUUGUAGGAAAGACAAAAACCUUAACUGUAAAAAUAAUAAAACAGAAAAAGAAAUAAAUGAUGAUUUCUUACUUAGCAGUGCUGUGUUCUUUGAGGCUGUCAGCCCACUGAUAAGUCAGAAGGCAAAACAGAAUGGAAGGAAAUACGGGAAAAGUGAAAUCAAACCAGCGAAUAUGCUGUGAGCUGGACUCCAUUUUGAAUACUGAUGUAGCUGGGGUUACCUCAUGUCUAAAAUGGUAGAAUAAAUCAAGAGAAAGAGGGAUGCAAGGUAGGAAAUAAUUUCCAUACCAGUAGAUAAGAGCGGAGUUGGAACUGUUCUAUUUUUUGAAAGGUAUGGUUUGAAGGUGAAGGUAUCUGAGACUGGAACGUAAUUAACUGUAUGCAGAGAUUGUUGGUGGAAUAAUUGUUUUUGAGAAUAAAACAAAAUAGGGUGAAACUUUAAGUGGCUGUUAUUGCCUUACCACUUAAACCUUCAGGUUUGCUUAAAAUUAACUUAUACUGUAUUCUUUGAAUUCUAACGUAACGAUUGAAGGUAAGAAAUUGCUGCUACUUUUACUGUUAGAUUAUAUUUUUUACAGAUUAUAUACAUGUUUAUGUCAAAUUACUUGAGUUAAGAAAUGCAAGUGGACACACUUCAGCAUUUAUAAUUUAAAAUCUAUUGAGACUCAGUUUAGCUCUUUUUAUUGUAAAUUCAAUAAUAAGGUGCAUUAAGGCAAGCUAGGAUAAUGUAGUCAAUUGCAACUUAAUAUGAUAGUGACUUUUAACAAGCUUUAAUUUUUGUGAAUGGACAGGAUGACUUGUGGUCAGCUGCUGUGGACGUGGUGGUGGAGUCACCGCUGUAGGAAAAUCCAUUUGUGUCACUACCCCACCUGUAUGUGACGUGUUGUGUGAGGCUGGCAGCUGUGUGCUCAUUGUCUCAGCUCUUCUUCCUCUCUCCAGCUUGGAGGUAGUCCUUGCUGCACAGGAAGCCAAUUUGCAGACUGAGAGCGUGGAGCAAAAAUUGCUGCUGCUUGGAAGCAGGGUGAAAUACUGAGACUAUAUAAUGGGGAAAAAACCAAACCCUCUUAAGUUUACUUUUUAAGCAUUAUUAAUACAUGUGCAUUAAAGUUUAAAAUCUGCAAGCAAAGCUUUUCUAACAAAAUAGCAAUGUGAUCUUUGCACUGGUUGCCUUAGAUGUGUAUUUAUGUGAGCAUUCCCUCUGGAGUAUUCAGCGUUGGAUGAAUUACUGUCUAAAUGCCCAGAUGCUGUUUUUGGGAAUCCAUAAACUUAAAAUAAAUAAAAGCAAGAGAAAGAA